This is a small nuclear RNA of Sipha flava (yellow sugarcane aphid), 140 nucleotides long. RefSeq annotates it as U4 spliceosomal RNA. The transcript has a single exon. Lineage: Eukaryota; Metazoa; Arthropoda; Insecta; Hemiptera; Aphididae. The record is from RefSeq and is a predicted model, not a curated record.
AGCUUUGCGCAGUGGCGAUAUCGUAACCGAUGAGGUCCAUCCGAGGUGCGAUUAUUGCUAGUUGAAAACUUUAACCAAUACCCCGCCAUGUGGACAUGAAACACUGUCCGCAUCGGCAAUUUUUACAGGCCCUAACGGGC